CAAAAACAUGUCCUUUUGUUUAUUUAUAUAAGGUCUGGCCUGCCCAAUGAGUAAUUGAAUGGCCGCAGUAUUUUAACUGUGCUAAGGUAGCAUAAUCAUUUGUCUUUUAAUUGAGGGCUGGAAUGAAAGGUUGGAUGAGGUAUAAGCUUUCUUUAAUUUAAUUAGGAUAAUUUAAUUUUUGAGUCAAAAAGCUUAAAUUUAUUUGUUGGACGAGAAGACCCUAUAGAUCUUUAUAAUUUUAUGUUUCAAUAAUUUAGGGUUUUAUUUAUUUGAAGCAAAGGAAUUAUUUGGUUGGGGUGACUGUAGAAUUUGAAUAACUUCUAUUUUUUAGUUUCAUUAAUUUAUGUAUUGAUGAUCCAUAUUUUUAUGAUUAUAAGAUUAAGUUACCUUAGGGAUAACAGCGUAAUUUCCUCGGAGAGUUCAUAUUGAUGAGGGAGUUUGCGACCUCGAUGUUGGAUUAAAAUAAGUUGUGGGUGCAGGAGCUUAACAUACUAGGUCUGUUCGACCUUUAAAUUUUUACAUGAUCUGAGUUCAAACCGGAGA
RNAcentral lists this ribosomal RNA (543 nucleotides) under Triatoma breyeri. Its description in RNAcentral is "partial 16S ribosomal RNA". It matches the Rfam family "Bacterial large subunit ribosomal RNA", at positions 1808 to 2622 of the family's 2925-position model. Lineage: Eukaryota; Metazoa; Arthropoda; Insecta; Hemiptera; Reduviidae. The record is from RNAcentral.